AUUGAACGCUGGCGGCAGGCCUAACACAUGCAAGUCGAGCGGAUGAAGGGAGCUUGCUCCUGGAUUCAGCGGCGGACGGGUGAGUAAUGCCUAGGAAUCUGCCUGGUAGUGGGGGAUAACGUCCGGAAACGGGCGCUAAUACCGCAUACGUCCUGAGGGAGAAAGUGGGGGAUCUUCGGACCUCACGCUAUCAGAUGAGCCUAGGUCGGAUUAGCUAGUUGGUGGGGUAAAGGCCUACCAAGGCGACGAUCCGUAACUGGUCUGAGAGGAUGAUCAGUCACACUGGAACUGAGACACGGUCCAGACUCCUACGGGAGGCAGCAGUGGGGAAUCUUCGGCAAUGGGCGAAAGCCUGAUCCAGCAAUGCCGCGUGAGUGAAGAAGGUCUUCGGAUUGUAAAGCACUUUAAGUUGGGAGGAAGGGCAGUAAGUUUAUACCUUGCUGUUUUGACGUUACCAACAGAAUAAGCACCGGCUAACUUCGUG
Molecule: ribosomal RNA, 484 nt
Filed under: uncultured bacterium
Lineage: Bacteria
Description: partial 16S ribosomal RNA
Rfam family: Bacterial small subunit ribosomal RNA
Source: RNAcentral